CGGAAUGCUUUACACAUGCAAGUCGAACGGCAGCACGGGUGCUUGCACCUGGUGGCGAGUGGCGAACGGGUGAGUAAUGCGUCGGAACGUGCCGAGUAAUGGGGGAUAACGCAGCGAAAGUUGUGCUAAUACCGCAUACGCCCUCCGGGGGAAAGCAGGGGAUCGCAAGACCUUGCGUUAUUCGAGCGGCCGACGUCUGAUUAGCUAGUUGGUGGGGUAAAGGCCUACCAAGGCGACGAUCAGUAGCGGGUCUGAGAGGAUGAUCCGCCACACUGGGACUGAGACACGGCCCAGACUCCUACGGGAGGCAGCAGUGGGGAAUUUUGGACAAUGGGGGCAACCCUGAUCCAGCCAUUCCGCGUGAGUGAAGAAGGCCUUCGGGUUGUAAAGCUCUUUCAGCUGGAGUGAAACGGUUCGCUCUAACAUAGCGAGCUAAUGACGGUACCAGCAGAAGAAGCACCGGCUAACUACGUGCCAGCAGCCGCGGUAAUACGUAGGGUGCGAGCGUUAAUCGGAAUUACUGGGCGUAAAGCGUGCGCAGGCGGAUUGUUAAGCAAGACGUGAAAUCCCCGGGCUUAACCUGGGAAUGGCGUUUUGAACUGGCAGUCUAGAGUGCGUCAGAGGGGGGUGGAAUUCCACGUGUAGCAGUGAAAUGCGUAGAGAUGUGGAGGAACACCAAUGGCGAAGGCAGCCCCCUGGGAUGACACUGACGCUCAUGUACGAAAGCGUGGGUAGCAAACAGGAUUAGAUACCCUGGUAGUCCACGCCCUAAACGAUGUCAACUGGUUGUUGGGGGAGUGAAAUCCCUUAGUAACGAAGCUAACGCGUGAAGUUGACCGCCUGGGGAGUACGGUCGCAAGAUUAAAACUCAAAGGAAUUGACGGGGACCCGCACAAGCGGUGGAUGAUGUGGAUUAAUUCGAUGCAACGCGAAAAACCUUACCUACCCUUGACAUGUCCAGAACCCUGAAGAGAUUUGGGGGUGCUCGAUAGGGAAUUGGAACACAGGUGCUGCAUGGCUGUCGUCAGCUCGUGUCGUGAGAUGUUGGGUUAAGUCCCGCAACGAGCGCAACCCUUAUCAUUAGUUGCUACGCAAGGGCACUCUAAUGAGACUGCCGGUGACAAACCGGAGGAAGGUGGGGAUGACGUCAAGUCCUCAUGGCCCUUAUGGGUAGGGCUUCACACGUCAUACAAUGGUCGGUACAGAGGGUUGCCAAGCCGCGAGGUGGA
This 1229-nucleotide ribosomal RNA is filed under the name Thiobacillus sajanensis. RNAcentral describes it as "bacterial SSU rRNA". It matches the Rfam family "Bacterial small subunit ribosomal RNA", at positions 40 to 1266 of the family's 1533-position model. The record is from RNAcentral. Lineage: Bacteria; Pseudomonadati; Pseudomonadota; Betaproteobacteria; Nitrosomonadales; Thiobacillaceae.